Molecule: long non-coding RNA, 446 nt
Organism: Phyllostomus discolor (pale spear-nosed bat)
Lineage: Eukaryota; Metazoa; Chordata; Mammalia; Chiroptera; Phyllostomidae
Exons: 3
Source: RefSeq, a predicted model, not a curated record
CAGUAAUAGUGAAAAUAGAGCUACAAGAAACAUUGUACAUAGGACAAUCAUGCCUCGGUGCCCUACAACAUAGGCACCUUGGGAGCUCACACAGUUCUCCCAGUGUCUUUUUCAUUGUUCAAAACACUGCAAAACCCUUUGUUGGUAUCGCCAUCAACUGCCUCAUUGUAUUUUCCUGAAUCUCAGUGAUGGUCUGAUAUUUCUUCCCUUUCAAAGAGGAUUUUAGUUUUGGGAAAAGCCAGAAGUCACAGGGCACCAAAUCUGGGCUGUAGAGGGGCUGAGUCACCUGUGUGAUUUGAUGUUUAGCCAAAAAACUCUGCAUAAGACGUGGAACAAGAGCGGGCACAUUGCCAUGAUGAAAGUACCAGUCACCAGUAUCCCAUAGCUGCAGCUGUUUUCAUCACAAUGCAUCUCUCAACUGAUGGAGAACAUUGAGGUAGCAUUCC